RNAcentral lists this ribosomal RNA (654 nucleotides) under Triticum aestivum (bread wheat). RNAcentral's name for it is "partial small subunit ribosomal RNA". The record is from RNAcentral. Lineage: Eukaryota; Viridiplantae; Streptophyta; Magnoliopsida; Poales; Poaceae.
AUGCUUAAGAUUGAUCUAGCUAAAGCCUUUGAUCAUUUGGAAUGGAACUUCAUAUGCUCUGCUCUAGCACGUAAGGGGUUGCAUAAUCACUUUAUUAAUUUAAUUCAUGCUUGUAUUGCAACUCAUGUUUUCUUGAUUAUCAUUAAUGGGCAAUCAUAUGCGAAGUUCAGAAGUAGCAGAGGAAUUAGGCAAGGUUGUCCUCUGUCGCCAUAUCUUUUUAUCCUUUCCAUUAAUGAAUUUUCGAUCUCUUUACAAGAAGCUAUGUUCUCCAAUCACUUGUCAGGUAUCUCUCUUGGUCCAAACUGCCCCUCCAUUCAUUCACUUAUGUUUGCAGAUGAUCUUUUGGUUUGUAGUCAGGCUACCAUUCAAGAAGCAAUCACCAUGAAUCAACUCAUCCAAUCUUUCUGUGCUACCUCAGGUCAGAUCCCUAAUUCGAAUAAAUAUGGAAUUCUUUUUAGCAGAGGGGUGGAUAGCAACACUGAACGAUCUAUUCGGGACAUUUUUCCGGUCUCAAAAAUAGAUCACAAAUUCAUCCAUCUUGGGCACCCUCUCAUUCUUCCUUCUAAAGACAGAUCCACAGCCUACAGCUUUGUCAUAGAUAAAUUCAAGGCUAAACUUCCAAGUUAUAAGGCUAAUAAACUCUCAUGCGACUAG